UGCAGCAACGCCGCGUGAGGGAUGACGGCCUUCGGGUUGUAAACCUCUUUUGUCAGGGAAGAAGCGAAUGUGACGGUACCUGCAGAAAAAGCGCCGGCUAACUACGUGCCACCCCCCGCGGUAAUACUGCCGGCGCAAGCGUUAUCCGGAAUUAUUGGGCGUAAAGAGCUCGUAGGCGGUUUGUCGCGUCUGCUGUGAAAUCCGGAGGCUCAACCUCCGGCCUGCAGUGGGUACGGGCAGACUACAGUGCGGUAGGGGAGAUUGGAAUUCCUGGUGUAGCGAUGGAAUGCCCAGAGUACAAGAGGAACACCGAUAGCGAAGGCAGAUCUCUGGUCCGGAACUGACUCUCAGGAACCAAAGGGUGGGGAGCAGACAGGCUUAGAUGCCCUGGUACUCCACCCCGUACACGGGGGGAACUAGUUGUGGGGUCCAUUCCACGGAUGCCGUGACGCCACUGACGCAUUAACUUCCCCGCCUGGGGAGUACGGCCGCAAGGCUAAAACUCAGAGGAAUUGACGGGGACCCGGACAAGCGGGGGACCAUGCGGAUUAAUUCGAUGCAACGCUUAGAACCUUACCACGGCUUGACAUAUACCAGAACGGGCCAGAAAUGGUCAACUCUUUGGACACUC
This 631-nucleotide ribosomal RNA is filed under the name Microbacteriaceae bacterium Se2Pt_414. RNAcentral's name for it is "bacterial SSU rRNA". It matches the Rfam family "Bacterial small subunit ribosomal RNA", at positions 387 to 1029 of the family's 1533-position model. Lineage: Bacteria; Bacillati; Actinomycetota; Actinomycetes; Micrococcales; Microbacteriaceae. The record is from RNAcentral.